Long non-coding RNA from Canis lupus familiaris (dog), 6374 nucleotides. RefSeq lists it as uncharacterized. The transcript is spliced from 13 exons. The record is from RefSeq and is a predicted model, not a curated record. Lineage: Eukaryota; Metazoa; Chordata; Mammalia; Carnivora; Canidae.
AUGCCUAAAGAUGCAGAAGGCUGAUGUUGCUCAAGUCAAAUUUACAGAUUUCUGCUAUGGCAGGAGCCUCUUGUGCCACUUGCUACCUAUUCCUUGGCCUUGGCUGCUGUCUCCUCUGGCUAAAAUGCCUGAAAUUCUGCCCAGCUCACCUAUCUACUGAAACUGACAUCAUUAACCAUUGCUGGGAGCCGGGUCAUUGUGUGAAUUGUUUUGAGCACAUUAUCUUGAAUAAUCAGCAUGACAACGCUGUGAGAGAUUCCAACACAAAAUCACAUGUAUUUAAAGGAUGAAGAAACUGAGGCUCAGAGAGGGCUGUGAAUUCCUGCAUUUAUCUACCUUCGUUUUCCUGUGUAGACACAAGGCUGCCUGGCUUCAGAGAGUAUCUUUACAGGUGAUAUCAUAUCAAGCCACCAGGACUUUGAGCUUGGGAGGCUACAAGGUUGUGAUCUCCAAGGGGAAAUGAAGAUGUGUCUUGGGGGGAAUCAAUCUGAUUUUACAUGAUGAACUAGCCACUAGCAUCACUAUGAAAACAGUGAGGAAAACCAGGCAGGUAGAGAGAAGGCAAGAGCUGUGUAUGUGCCCAUUGUGGGGACACCCAUGGAGUGAAAAGCAAGAAACGUGACUCCACCCUGCAAGGGGCCCAGGGUAUUGGGCAACUGUAGGCCAACCCAUUCGGCUCUUCCUCAUUUGGCCAGGACACUGGCUGAGCAUGAAGCCUUCUUUCAGGACUCUUCAUGUGAACAAAUUGUACACAGUCCUUGAUUUCAUCACUGCCUUUGAGGGCUCAGAAUCUUAUGUAUGGGAAUUCCUGGCCCUUCUGCUGGCUUCCACCAUCUUGAAACAGCCCGUUGCUUAUUGAGCCAGGCAUAGAAACUCCAUCCACCAACUGCCAUGGCAGAGUAGGUGACUGAGGUACAGAGUGUCUACAUGACUUGGUUGACCUGGAAGAACGAAUGGAUCCGUUUCAUCUUCUAUGCUGCUUGUGAGCUCAAUCUGGCAGAUCCUGCCCCAUUUGGAACCUGGUUGUGAGCAAGAAAACAUCUGUGGUCGGAAAGUGGGGGCAGUGAUUCAGGCCUGUUUGGGACUCGGAGAGGAUGUCCUUGAACCCUCUACUCAGGAAACAGCUCCCUCCCACAAGGAUGUGAGAGGUCAUCUGUCUGUCUACUUUGACACUUUCACCCAGUGACCUUCAGGGCUUCAGACACCUUCCCGAAUAAUCCCAGUUCAAUAGCCACUUCUGGGCUCUGCUCUGUGCCAGGAGCAGCAUGUGGAUGGGAGAUUCCAGAUGAACAAGUCAUGGCUUUGGCUCCCAAGCUGCUUGCAAAAUCAUUUUAAUGGGGACAUCAUGAAGGAACGAUGGAGCUGACCCAGCCUUGGGCUUGAAGAGGAGAAGGCCAAGGACAGACAUCACAAUCUGUAGCUCUCCACAUUAUACAGAUGGGAAGGGCACCGAACUUGCUCAGAAAGAACGGAAUACUGCAGAAGCGAGGCUGAGUGACUUCUGAGGCCAGGUCAUGAACAGUCCGGGCUGGAGAGGGAGAUGGGCUUCUGUCUUUGGAGCUGGGACAUUUGCUUUUGGAGUCCUUAGCCGACGUUGAAGAGACGUGCGGCUACCAUGCUGUGGGGAAGCCCAGGCCACAGGGACAGGACACGUGCAGGCUCUCUGGCUGAUAACACCAGCUGAGGUCCUUGCCGACAGCCAGACAUGUGAGUGAAGAUGCUUCCAGAUGAUUCCGGUUCCUCGCCGCUGAGUCACUCCCAGCCUUUGAAUUUUCCCAUUUCAGUCUUCAGACAUUGGGGAACAGAGUCAAGCCUGUCCUUUCUCCAAAUCCCCAACCCACAAAAUCUGUGAGUAUACUAACACGGUUAUUUUAAGCCACUAAGUGUUGGAGUGAUUUGUUCUGCAGCAACAAUAAGCAGAGCCCCGCCCUCAGACCUUCUGCUAGGACUUGUCUUUUUAAGACUCCGAGCAAUAGACAAUUCUUUCUCCAGAGGUCUUAGAGGAAGAAAGCAUGCUUAUAACACAGUUAAGAUUUGUUUCUUCAUGAGUCUAGAGAAUUCCCCAUGAUCAAAGAUGUUACAGCUGGAAAUGUUUCUAGAGCUAUCAUGCUUGCUGGCAUCUGGCUGUGGCAGCUCCCAAGGGAAUCACCCCCAGCACCCCCAGCAGAGAGGGCCUGAAGAGGACCUUCCUCCUCGCAGCUCUUCUGAGCGGGCACAGAUUGCAAUGGCCCGGACAGAUGGAGGCGCCAACCUAACACUGAAGCAAUGGUAGAGUCACCCAGGGGGAUGGAAUUCUUGAAGGAAGAGAAGAACUCUCCAUUUGGAUGGCAAGAUGGUUCCCACAUUUUCUCGAUCAACUGUUACUCAUAUUACUGUCUACUGUUUGCCCAGAACUCUAUUGCUGAUGGCUAUUCUUUUGUUCAGUCCUCAUGAUCAGGGUGGGAAGUAGUUUGACAGCCUCAUCACAGAAUUCUAGAAACUGAGGCUAGAAGACCAACCAACCCAGGAGCACAUGUAUCCAGUCAAUGUUGAGGACUAAAACCUAUGCCUUCUGAUUCCACAUCGAGGCUUCUUGUUAUUGUGCUCUGAAGAGAAUCCCUGUUUUGGAGGGGAAAAAAAAAAAGUGAUGUCUGUUCCAAGAUCAUCAAGAGAGUGCUUGUGAAAGCCUUUGCAGACAUUGUGGUCAUGAUCUGACUGCUGAGCACUUUAGAAUCUAUCAUCAAGAGCCACAACAGACCUACAAGAAUCCAUACCUACACCUGAAACUCAUAGCUCUCCAGUUGCACAACCUCCAACUCUUAAUCCACAAGCCCAAGCUCAUCUCCUGCCUGAGAGCUCACAGCAUCAUCCGUCCAUCCAUCCAUCCGUCCAUCCAUCCAUCCAUCCAUCCAUCCCUCGCAUGUUACACACAGUUCCUGGCACAUUGUUGGUAAAUAUUCAAUUGUAUGUCAGUUACAACUCAGUUAAAAAAAAAGCUAAGAUCAAAUCAUAUAGAAUGAGGGUGAUCCCUAACACAGUGACUGAUAUGUUAAUAAGAAAAAGGAGAGGGAGACUAAACACAGAGACACAGAGAAAUGGAGACAUACAGAAAGGGGAGAAGACAAAGCCACUGAUGUCAGAGGCACAGAUUGGAGUGACCCAGCUUCAGGCGAAAGAAUGCCCAGCAUUGCCUACAGCUACCAACCCAGGGAGAGGCAGGAAGAGUUCUUCCCUAGAGCUUUCAGAGGGGGCCUGGCUCAAUAAAACCAAAAGAAAUAAUCCAUGCAAACUGAAUGCUGAGUGAAGUUAUGAAUGGCUAAAACAUAGAAAAUGAUCAAAGUCAGGUGCAGUGAGGGGCUCUUAGAUUGGCAUGUGAGCUGGGGUUGUUGAGCCUCUGGGUUCCAGUAGCUCCCUGCUCCUGGCAUAGAAGCCAGAAAGGCAGCCCCAUAGAAAGGAGCACAAGCAGAAAAUGAUGCAUAUGCUAAGUCAUAAGGGCUGUUUAGAAAAUAAACCAGUACUUGAUUUGAUUAAAAUAUGAGGCAGGAGGGCACACUAGUGUUUGCAUCUGAUCUUAUCAGUGAAGGGUAACUAUAUGGAUUAUGGUGCAAGAACUUUAUUUCCAUCAGAGCUAAAGAAUCUCUUAGAAGCCUUGUAAAUCUUAUCUAGAACAUUUUGAAUUGCCUCUCAUAUUUAUUUAGAUCGUGCAGGAACAAUUCUGUAUUUCUCCUGAAUACUUCUAGGCUUUCCAAAGCUAGGUGUGCCUCCCACUUUGUUUCUGCCUCUGCUGAUUCUAGGCUACAUUGUGAUUGCCCCACACUGUGGCCUCCAAAGUCCCCAGAGCUAAGGGUUAUAGAAACCAGUCACAGUAGUCAUAAAUCUUAGGUCAAUCCCAUGCUCAUUUUAUUUAAACAUUGCUGAGACCAGAGCUCUGGGAGGAUCUAACAGAGCCCCACAGAACUCAAUGGCUCUCGACCCCUCAUGGAGUCAGAGAGCAACUUUGAAAAUCUUCUUUGAGGUCAUUACUUAAGUCCGUCCUCUGAUCUCUCCAAGGAAAUUCCAGCAAGAAGUGUCUCUGAUUGGAUGCAAAAUGGUAACCUCCAAAUGGUUACCAGGAAAAUGAAUCUUUAUAGCCCUACUUUCUACCUAUCUCAUAUUGAUCGGAGAAUGGAGAGAAUUGCAGGAAUAAGGCUCACAAACACUUGGAAUUUUUUGGAGACUGGCAAGUCAGAUUUGAAAGUUGAUGGGCUUAGACACUGUUGAACUGUGUUCCCAAAAAAACGUGUGUUGAAGUCCUUACUUCCAGUACCUUACAGAAUGUGACCUUAUUUGGAAAUAGGUUCAUUGUGGAUGCAGUUAGUCAAGUUAAGAUGAAGUCCUACUGGAUUAGAGUGGACCCUUCAUCUAGUAUGACUGAUGUCCUUACAAGAAGAUAAUAUGAAGAUGCAAAGAGAGAAUGCCAUGUGAUGACAGAGGCAGGGAUCGGAGCAAGGAAGAUGUAAGCCAAGGAUCCCCAAGGAUUUCAGGCUGCCACCGGAAGCUGGGAAGAAGCAAGGAAGGAUUCUUCCCAGAGUCCAGAGGGUCCUGGUCCUGCUGACACCCAGAUUUUAGCUUUCUAGCCUCCAGUACUGUCAGAGAAUAAAUUUCCAUUGGUAAAGCCACCCAGUUUAUGGCACUCCAUCCAACUAGCCCUAGGUAGCUAGACAAUGUAUUGCUGAUGGAGACUCAGACUCUCCCCAUCCUCCCAUCCUAUCUUCCUGCCCUGAGAGCGAUGCUCUUGCCUGUGUGAGAGGUGGACUGCAUGUCCUGGGGAGGAAAGGCCGGUGGCCUUCUUGAAAGAGGCAUUCUGAAGUAUCUGCUAGCAUGUCGCUAGGUGUCCUGUGGGUGCUUGAGAAUACCUUGUUUGAACCAGACUGAGUUAUGGUGAAGACUUCAUUAGAACAGGACUGAGGGGAAUUCAAAAUAGGGAAAAUAUUCAUCAUGUUCCUCCUUCAUAAAACUUUCCAUUUUCCACGGUCCCUGCCAGCACUCUGCCAUUUGCAGUCGUGGGUAUGUGCUCACAACCUCAGGCCACGUGCAUCCUUGUGAUUGGCCCUUUGUCUGCACCCCAGCAUUGCUGUUACAUCAUGUGAUAAUGCCGGCCUGAUCCUUCAUCCGGUCGUUAUACCACAAUCAUUUCACCAUUUCACUUUUGCUGGUCAUUAAUUUCAGUGAUUUUUUUCUUCUUUCUUAUUCAUUUAGAUACCAUUGCGAAGAACAUCUUUGUGCUUAUGAUUUUUUCCCAGUUUCAUGGAGAAACAAUUGACUGACAACACUGUAUAAGUUGAAAGUGUACAGCAGGAUAGCUUGGUUUGCAUAUGUCUUGCAGUGAUCACCACAAUAGGUUCAGCUGACCUCCGCCUUCUCCCACAGAUACAGUGAAAAGAAUUGUGUUUAUAAAUUUUGAUUCUUUUGAAUUAUCUCCAAAAAAUUUCUAGGAUAGAUCUACUGGCUCAAAGAGUAAAAUAAGCUUAAGGAUUUUCUUAUAUGUUAUUAUACCAUUUUCUAAAAAAAGUAAAAUCAAAAUGCAGUGCCAUCAGAAAAUAUGUGCCAAAUGGUGCUUCAUUACAUUUUCACUUUCUGAGGUUGAGGAUGCAUUUAUUUCCUCUGUAGGAUUGUCCUCGUGCAAAUUGAUAUUUACCCACUACUGUACUGGGUCUUAAUUGUACUGGGUAUCCUUGCAUAAUAGACAUUAAACCGCCUCGGCUAUAUUUUUAGAAAUGGCUUUCCUUUUACUAUAAUGGCAUUUGUGUUUUUAAAAUUCAUUUAUUAAUUAUUAUUUUCUAUUUGAAGUGUAGCCUACAUAUAAUAUUAUUUUAGUUUCAGGUGUACAACAUAGUGAUUCAACACUCCUAUACAUUAUGAAAUGCUCUCCAUGAUAACGCAGUCACCAUCUGUCGCAAAACAGAGUUAAUAUAAUAUUAUUGGCUAUAUUCCCUAUACUGUACUUUUCAUCCUUGUAACUUAUCUAGUUUAUAACUGGAAGUUUGUAUGUCUUUAUCCCAUUUGCCAAUUUUUCUGUCCCACACCCCCGUGUUUCUGGUAACUGCUAGUUAGUUCUCCAUAUUUUUGAGUCCAUUUCUCUCUUUUUUUGUAGUUAUUUUUCAGUUUUUUAGAUUCCACGUGUCAGUGAAAUCAUAUGAUAUUUGUCUUUCUCUGACUUAUUUCACUUAGCACAAUACCUUCUAGGUUCAUUCAUGUUGCCCCAAAUGGCAAGAGUUCAUUCUUUUUUAUGGCUGAGUAAUAUUCCACUAUGCAUGUAUACACAUCACAUCUGUUCAUCUAUCAAUGCGCACCAACAUUGCUUCCUUCCAUAAUUUGGCUAUUGUAAAUAAUUUUGCAAUAAACAGGGGGGUGUA